UGGCUCAGAACGAACGCUGGCGGCGUGCUUAAUACAUGCAAGUCGUGCGAGAAAGUACCUUCGGGGUGCGAGUACAGCGGCAAACGGGUGAGUAACACGUAAGGAAUCUGCCUCCAAAUCCGGAAUAGCUCUGCCAACGCGGAAUUAAUGCCGGAUGUGGUUGCAUGGUCGCAUGGCUAUGCAACUAAAGGUGACCUCUUCGUUUGAAAGUUACCGUUUGGAGAUGACCUUGCGGCCCAUUAGCUUGUUGGCGGGGUAACGGCCCACCAAGGCUGCGAUGGGUAGCCGGCCUGAGAGGGUGAUCGGCCACAUUGGGACUGAGAUACGGCCCAGACUCCUACGGGAGGCAGCAGUAGGGAAUUUUGCGCAAUGGACGAAAGUCUGACGCAGCAACGCCGCGUGAGCGAUGAAGGUCUUCGGAUCGUAAAGCUCUGUUGAGUGGGAAGAAACGUCUCGGGGUUAAUAUCUCCGAGGCCUGACGGUACCACUCGAGGAAGCUCCGGCCAACUACGUGCCAGCAGCCGCGGUAAUACGUAGGGAGCGAGCGUUGUUCGGAAUCACUGGGCGUAAAGGGAGUGCAGGCGGAAAGGUAAGUCAGAAGUGUAAUCUACGGGCUUAACCCGUAUCUCGCUUUUGAUACUGCUUUUCUUGAGUAGUGGAGAGGGAAACGGAAUUCCAGGUGUAGCGGUGGAAUGCGUAGAUAUCUGGAAGAACACCAGUAGCGAAGGCGGUUUCCUGGCCACAUACUGACGCUGAGGCUCGAAAGCGUGGGGAGCAAACAGGAUUAGAUACCCUGGUAGUCCACGCCGUANACGAUGGGCACUAGAUAUCGGGGAAUUCGAUUUCUUCGGUGUCGCAGUUAACGCGAUAAGUGCCCC
This 878-nucleotide ribosomal RNA is filed under the name uncultured organism. RNAcentral describes it as "bacterial SSU rRNA". It matches the Rfam family "Bacterial small subunit ribosomal RNA", at positions 20 to 870 of the family's 1533-position model. The record is from RNAcentral.